RNAcentral lists this ribosomal RNA (252 nucleotides) under uncultured bacterium. Its description in RNAcentral is "partial 16S ribosomal RNA". It matches the Rfam family "Bacterial small subunit ribosomal RNA", at positions 524 to 776 of the family's 1533-position model. The record is from RNAcentral.
UACGUAGGGUGCAAGCGUUGUCCGGAAUUAUUGGGCGUAAAGAGCUCGUAGGCGGUCUGUCGCGUCUGCUGUGAAAACUCGGGGCUUAACCCCGGGCCUGCAGUGGGUACGGGCAGACUAGAGUGCGGUAGGGGAGACUGGAAUUCCUGGUGUAGCGGUGAAAUGCGCAGAUAUCAGGAGGAACACCGGUGGCGAAGGCGGGUCUCUGGGCCGAUACUGACGCUGAGGAGCGAAGCGUGGGGAGCGAACAGG